RNAcentral lists this unclassified non-coding RNA (240 nucleotides) under soil metagenome. RNAcentral's name for it is "partial contains 5.8S ribosomal RNA, internal transcribed spacer 2, and large subunit ribosomal RNA". The record is from RNAcentral.
AACUGAUACUACCUGCGGGAACCUGCGGAGGGAUCAUUACCGAGUUCUUUGACUCACAACCCUUUGCGAACGCUACCUGCCGUUGCCUCGGCGGUGCGGCCCCGGGCCCCCCGCUCGCUGGGGGGGCGCGCGGAACCAAGGCCCCCGCCGGAGGACCCCGAUACGCAGCUUCUUGCCGAGUCUCUCUCUGAGGUGGCCCUCGCGGGCCUGGAAAACAAGAAAACGAAUCAAAACUUUCAA